RNAcentral lists this unclassified non-coding RNA (1569 nucleotides) under Cyanidioschyzon merolae strain 10D. RNAcentral's name for it is "hypothetical transcript". Lineage: Eukaryota; Rhodophyta; Bangiophyceae; Cyanidiales; Cyanidiaceae. The record is from RNAcentral.
GUGGUGCGAUCGAGUUGGCUAAACUCUGGAGCCUGGUCCGCGUAAAAGACGUACAACAGUGGUACCAGGAUGUCAUUGAGGCCUUGUACAUAACCGGCGGCGGGAUGUCGCACGGACCACAAGUGUAGGAUCCGCGUCAUUGCCUGUUGUACGGCUCCGGUGUGGAAGAGCGGAAAUUCGGGUGCGGUACGCGGCACGUCGAGGUCGAUCUGACGCUUACGAGCCCAGUCUUCUGAGGACAGGCGAUUACCGAGUCUGGGAUCAGUGACUAGCCCGAGUUCAGCAACUGCUUGCCAGUACUGGUCGCGUUUGCGGCUGACGCUCCGGAGAAGACGCGAAGGUUGCGGCGGGCAGUAGUCCAGCAGCACCUUCCACGCAAGGGCCCGUUGCGCACCAGGCACGCCGCUCCAGGCAAGUUGUUCGAGGAGCCCGCGAUCGACAGCGCUGAUCCUGCUCAGUUCUGCAGCAUCUCCUCGUCUCCAGGCCUGGCGAAUCGCGUCCAGUUGUGUCCAGAGUGUGGUGGAGGCCUUCGAACCCACGCCCUCAGCGUCUUCGGUUUCCAGCGCGACUGCUGGCGCUGUUGCUGGCUUUGUCACAAGUGCUGCGCUGCCCCUUUUCAAACCAGCGUCUGUGGAAGCUUCUCGUUUGUUUUCGGCGAGCAACGGACCCUGGCACAAGGCCUGAACCGCCGUGCCGACUCGCGAACAGUGCGUUGUCGGCGCAGCGUCCGCUGAGGUUGCAGUCGUGUUAUGAGGUGCGCUAUCAGCGGUGAUACCGCCUUGUUGCGCUUCCCAUUCGCUGAACUGUGGUACGAGCUCACCUAAGCAGUCACCUGGUGCCCCAGAGAGCGAGCGAAUAGACCACCAAACCGUGUUCAGCGCUCUCGAGUCCAUGCAGUUCGCGGCUGCUCCAGCGUAUGUGUCCAAGUUGUCGCUCAGUACCACGCAGAUAACUAUGGUAUUCGUAACUGUGGCAGCUGCGUCAUCGGACGCCUGUCACGCUCUCGUUCAGGUCAGUGGGCAAACAACACCCAUAUCGAGACCGCAGCUCUAUGCCACGUCCUGGACUAGGGAGAACGCUUCCAGGCUUUGCCUCGGAGCGACGAUCGCUGCUGGCGUAUGUGUCAUUGGCAUUGACUUUCUCUAGGCUUCUGUCGUUGCCGUUGUCGUCGAACAGAGACGAUCGUGACCCGCUUAUAAGGUGCUCCUGCAACUUUGCGGAAGCUUUCGGCAUGCAAGGGAGAAAAUGUGUGAUUAAGUCUGUGGAUAUGCCAGAAGAUCGGCAGCAGUUUGCCGUAGAGACUGCGACAAAGGCCAUCGAGAACUAUCAGGUGGAGAAGGACGUGGCGGCAGCUAUAAAGAAAGAGUUUGACGCCAAGUACGGACCUACCUGGCACUGUAUCGUCGGACGAAACUUUGGCUCGUACGUCACGCAUGAAACCGGGUGUUUCAUAUACUUUUACCUGGACCAAAUCGCGGUGCUUCUUUUCAAGUCCGGGUAGUGACGGGAGGGCGCGAGACGUUUGCCCGGGUCGAGCACUUGAAAGGAUAACCCGCUGGUAAACGCUUU